Molecule: unclassified non-coding RNA, 338 nt
Filed under: soil metagenome
Description: partial contains 5.8S ribosomal RNA, internal transcribed spacer 2, and large subunit ribosomal RNA
Rfam family: 5.8S ribosomal RNA (bases 1-120)
Source: RNAcentral
GAUGAAGAACGCAGCGAAAUGCGAUAAGUAGUGUGAAUUGCAGAAUUCAGUGAAUCAUCGAAUCUUUGAACGCACAUUGCGCCCGCCAGCAUUCUGGCGGGCAUGCCUGUUCGAGCGUCAUUUCAACCCUCAAGCUCUGCUUGGUGUUGGGGCCCUACGGUUGACGUAGGCCCUUAAAGGUAGUGGCGGACCCUCUCGGAGCCUCCUUUGCGUAGUAACUAACGUCUCGCAUUGGGAUUCGGAGGGACUCUUGCCGUAAAACCCCCAAAUUUUCUAAUGGUUGACCUCGGAUCAGGUAGGAAUACCCGCUGAACUUAAGCAUAUCAAUAAGCGGAGGA